AGUGCACGGCGUUCACCCCCAUGCCGGGGGGCGCGGCGGGUCCUCCACGGAGAAAUUCAAGGAAGGAGGCUCCGGCUCAUAGCCGACACCUUCGCUUCCAAGAGAAUUGCCUCACCCGGGGCGUGAGGAAAGGGCGGCAGAGGGGGAACAGGAAAAAAUGACUCCGAGGAGGGGACCGGAGAAGGCGGGGGCGCCGGAGGCGCAGUGGAAAGAUGAAUGGAGGUUGCCUAGUCGGCGGAGUCCGGGUGUGACGCCCUUUAGGAGCCCGCGCCCGCCGCAACCGCCUGGAGGCGACGCAUAACUUCGAGGGCCUCGGACCUCCGGAGCCUGAGCAAGUUCCAGGAGCUCGAGCCGCCACGACGGCCCGAGCCGGCACGGACGGCCCCAGGAGAUUCGUCACGGAAACCUCGCCCCACCAAGGCGGCCCCUAAAGACAAAACGGCCCGCCCGAGGCUUAUAGGUGGAAGGGACUUGCCUUGUCUCAGGUGAUGUCUGAUGACCCUGACCUGUCUUCAGGAAAAAUCCUGUUAGAUCAGGUCCCUGCUGAAGAUGAGGAGGAAGAAUUACUGGUGAAAACCUGAAGUUUGAAAAAGUAAAUCCAAAUUGCUCUUUUGUCUAGUGUUUUGGGAAACAAGGAAGAGGGAAUGAAAUCUCUGUUUUAAAAUUUUAUUAUUUCUGUUAUUGCACAUUCACAAUUCACUAUAUUUCAUGCAUUCUUUAAAGAUCUAAUUUUUUUAAUUGGAUAUUGAAUAUCUACAAUGUGAUAACUAUAAAACACCUGUAAAACUUAAAUAACAAUACCAUGAUACCUAUAUAUUCAAUAUCUAGUUUAAGCAUAGGCUAUUAUUACCAUAACUUCG
Molecule: long non-coding RNA, 860 nt
Filed under: Homo sapiens (human)
Lineage: Eukaryota; Metazoa; Chordata; Mammalia; Primates; Hominidae
Description: HSALNT0370335
Source: RNAcentral